GAUUCCCCUAGUAACUGCGAGUGAAGCGGGAAAAGCUCAAAUUUAAAAUCUGGCGGUCUCUGGCCGUCCGAGUUGUAAUCUAGAGAAGUGUUAUCCGCGCUGGACCGUGUACAAGUCUCCUGGAAUGGAGCGUCAUAGAGGGUGAGAAUCCCGUCUUUGACACGGACUGCCAGGGCUUUGUGAUGCGCUCUCAAAGAGUCGAGUUGUUUGGGAAUGCAGCUCAAAAUGGGUGGUAAAUUCCAUCUAAAGCUAAAUAUUGGCGAGAGACCGAUAGCGAACAAGUACCGUGAGGGAAAGAUGAAAAGAACUUUGGAAAGAGAGUUAAACAGUACGUGAAAUUGCUGAAAGGGAAACGCUUGAAGUCAGUCGCGUUGGCCGGGGAUCAACCUUGCUUUUGCUGGGCGUACUUCCCGGUUGACGGGUCAGCAUCAAUUUUGACCGUUGGAUAAAGUUCAGGGGAAUGUGGCAUCUUCGGAUGUGUUAUAGCCCUUGGUCGCAUACAACGGUUGGGAUUGAGGAACUCAGCACGCCGCAAGGCCGGGUACUUGUACCACGUUCGUGCUUAGGAUGCUGGCAUAAUGGCUUUAAUCGACCCGUCUUGAAACACGGACCAAGGAGUCUAACAUGCCUGCGAGUGUUUGGGUGGAAAACUCGGACGCGUAAUGAAAGUGAAAGUUGAGAUCCCUGUCGUGGGGAGCAUCGACGCCCGGACCAGACCUUUUGUGACGGAUCCGCGGUAGAGCAUGUAUGUUGGGACCCGAAAGAUGGUGAACUAUGCCUGAAUAGGGUGAAGCCAGAGGAAACUCUGGUGGAGGCUCGUAGCGAUUCUGACGUGCAAAUCGAUCGUCAAAUUUGGGUAUAGGGGCGAAAGACAAUCGAACCAU
RNAcentral lists this ribosomal RNA (884 nucleotides) under Hebeloma sp. BRBG99/8. RNAcentral describes it as "LSU rRNA". It matches the Rfam family "Eukaryotic large subunit ribosomal RNA", at positions 73 to 943 of the family's 3401-position model. The record is from RNAcentral. Lineage: Eukaryota; Fungi; Basidiomycota; Agaricomycetes; Agaricales; Hymenogastraceae.